RNAcentral lists this long non-coding RNA (1395 nucleotides) under Daucus carota (carrot). Its description in RNAcentral is "long non-coding RNA (DCAR_LNC001550)". The record is from RNAcentral. Lineage: Eukaryota; Viridiplantae; Streptophyta; Magnoliopsida; Apiales; Apiaceae.
UUCUACAAUAUUUUUUGGUGUGAAUUUUUGUUAAGCCAUGGCUUCUCACCAUGCAUCUGAGUUCGACUCACUCAACUCGACUCCGCGCUCCUCAGACCACGAAGAGCCUCGUGUCCGUUUCAUGUGCAGCUUCGGGGGCAAAAUUUUGCCCCGUCCGCACGAUGAUCAGCUCCGUUAUGUUGGUGGCGACACUCGGAUUGUCGCCAUCAACAGACACACUUCCUUCUCAUCACUACUCGAAAAACUUGCGAAAUUUUCGGGGACGACAAAUAUUAGCAUGAAAUAUCAGCUCCCGAAUGAAGAUCUGUUGGAUUAUUUUUAAUAAUCUAAACAUUUAAAAUUGUUUUUAUAUUUCUGCUUGAAUAAGUGAGCUGGUGUUUGUAUGCAGCUUGAAUAGGUCGUAGUAGUUGAGGUGGUUUAGGAGUCGUAGUUGUUAAGUUGGUUUAGGAGAGUCGAGAAGAUCAGGACUGCAGUUCCUGGUUUCUAGUGAUCAUGUUAGUUUAUUUAUCUUCAGCAUGUAGUUAGUAAUUUUUAUCUCUUCAGUUUUGUAAGUUUUCCAUUCAGAAAUAUCAAUCAAGCAUUCUUUCAGAAGUUCUUUGCUUAUACAUUUUGAUUUGCAUUCUUCAUUUGGUAUCAGAGCGAGCACACUCAGUUAAUCAAAAAAUGGACGCCAGCAAGGGAAAAGAAAGCUCUUUCGGUUUAAGCUACCCACUGUUAACAAAGACUAACUACACGGCAUGGGCCUUGAAGAUGAAAGUUUUUAUGCAAGCACAUGGUGUAUGGGAGUCAAUAGAACCUAAGGAUCCUAAGGUGGCCGUUGAAGAUAAGAUGGAUAAACGAGCGCUGGCUAUCAUUUACCAAGGAAUCUCCGAGGACCUGUUGCUGUCAAUCGCAGAGAAAAAGACAUCCAAGGAAGCAUGGGAGGCGAUUAAGACAGUACACCUGGGUGCAGAUAAAGUGAAGAAAGCGAAGGCUCAGACUCUCAAGGUUGAGUUUGAGACUCUCACUAUGAAAGAGACGGAGCAGCUUGAUGAAUUCUGCAUGAGAUUGAACAGCUUGGUGACAAACAUCCGAGCUCUGGGAGAGAAAAUUGAAGAAGCUUACGUGGUGAAAAAACUCCUUCGAGCUGUACCCACUAAAUUUCUGCAGAUAGCGUCAGCCAUUGAACAGUUUGGCAACUUGGAGGUGAUGUCUGUAGAGGAAGUCGUAGGAUCCCUGAAGGCACAUGAGGAAAGAUUACGUGGGCCAGUGGAGAGCAGUGGUGAACAGCAACUUCUUCUUACGGAAGAAGAGUGGAUGAAGAGGGAAGGUAAGGAUGGUCAGUUACUUCUCACGCGAGAAGAAUGGUUAAAAAGGACGAACAGAAAAGGUAAAGAAUUUACUCGUGGUGCACGG